RNAcentral lists this ribosomal RNA (922 nucleotides) under Cellulomonas sp. SB20. RNAcentral's name for it is "bacterial SSU rRNA". It matches the Rfam family "Bacterial small subunit ribosomal RNA", at positions 73 to 1003 of the family's 1533-position model. The record is from RNAcentral. Lineage: Bacteria; Bacillati; Actinomycetota; Actinomycetes; Micrococcales; Cellulomonadaceae.
GCCCAGCUUGCUGGGUGGAUCAGUGGCGAACGGGUGAGUAACACGUGAGCAACCUGCCCUCCACUUCGGGAUAAGCCUUGGAAACGAGGUCUAAUACCGGAUAUGAGCACAUGGCGCAUGUCGUGUGUUGGAAAGUUUUUCGGUGGGGGAUGGGCUCGCGGCCUAUCAGCUUGUUGGUGGGGUGAUGGCCUACCAAGGCGUCGACGGGUAGCCGGCCUGAGAGGGCGACCGGCCACACUGGGACUGAGACACGGCCCAGACUCCUACGGGAGGCAGCAGUGGGGAAUAUUGCACAAUGGGCGAAAGCCUGAUGCAGCGACGCCGCGUGAGGGAUGACGGCCUUCGGGUUGUAAACCUCUUUCAGCAGGGAAGAAGGCCUUCGGGUGGACGGUACCUGCAGAAGAAGCGCCGGCUAACUACGUGCCAACAGCCGCGGUAAUACGUAGGGCGCAAGCGUUGUCCGGAAUUAUUGGGCGUAAAGAGCUCGUAGGCGGUCUGUCGCGUCUGGUGUGAAAACCCGAGGCUCAACCUCGGGCUUGCAUCGGGUACGGGCAGACUAGAGUGCGGUAGGGGAGACUGGAAUUCCUGGUGUAGCGGUGGAAUGCGCAGAUAUCAGGAGGAACACCGAUGGCGAAGGCAGGUCUCUGGGCCGCAACUGACGCUGAGGAGCGAAAGCAUGGGGAGCGAACAGGAUUAGAUACCCUGGUAGUCCAUGCCGUAAACGUUGGGCACUAGGUGUGGGGCUCAUUCCACGAGUUCCGUGCCGCAGCUAACGCAUUAAGUGCCCCGCCUGGGGAGUACGGCCGCAAGGCUAAAACUCAAAGGAAUUGACGGGGGCCCGCACAAGCGGCGGAGCAUGCGGAUUAAUUCGAUGCAACGCGAAGAACCUUACCAAGGCUUGACAUGCACGGGACGCUGCCAG